Molecule: ribosomal RNA, 253 nt
Filed under: uncultured bacterium
Lineage: Bacteria
Description: partial 16S ribosomal RNA
Rfam family: Bacterial small subunit ribosomal RNA
Source: RNAcentral
UACAGAGGUCCCAAGCGUUGUUCGGAUUCACUGGGCGUAAAGGGUGCGUAGGUGGUGAGGUAAGUCGGAUGUGAAAUCUCCGAGCUCAACUCGGAAACUGCAUUGGAAACUACCUUGCUCGAGGGUUGGAGGGGGGACUGGAAUGCUUGGUGUAGCAGUGAAAUGCGUAGAUAUCAGGAGGAACACCGAUGGCGAAGGCAGGUCUCUGGGCUGACACUGACGCUCAUGCACGAAAGCGUGGGGAGCAAACAGG